GAUGAACGCUAGCUACAGGCUUAACACAUGCAAGUCGAGGGGAAACGAUAUUGGAAGCUUGCUUCUGAUAGGCGUCGACCGGCGCACGGGUGAGUAACGCGUAUCCAACCUGCCCAUCACUUGGGGAUAACCUUGCGAAAGUAAGACUAAUACCCAAUGACGUCUCUAGAAGACAUCUGAAAGAGAUUAAAGAUUUAUCGGUGUACGAUGGGGAUGCGUUCCAUUAGGUAGUAGGCGGGGUAACGGCCCACCUAGCCUACGAUGGAUAGGGGUUCUGAGAGGAAGGUCCCCCACAUUGGAACUGAGACACGGUUCCAAACUCCUACGGGAGGCAGCAGUGAGGAAUAUUGGUCAAUGGACGAGAGUCUGAACCAGCCAAGUAGCGUGAAGGAUGAAGGUCCUACGGAUUGUAAACUUCUUUUAUAAGGGAAUAAACCCUCCACGUGUGGGAGCUUGUAUGUACCUUAUGAAUAAGCAUCGGNUAACUCCGUG
Molecule: ribosomal RNA, 492 nt
Filed under: uncultured bacterium
Lineage: Bacteria
Description: bacterial SSU rRNA
Rfam family: Bacterial small subunit ribosomal RNA
Source: RNAcentral